UUUUCCCUGCCGUGUACGAUACGGCGUGCGAAACAUUGAGCCUAAUAUUUGAACCGGGGGCCCAACAUUUGUUGUAGCUAACGGUAUGCGCGUUCAGUGCGAACCGGCCGCUACCGUGAGGGCACCCACCUAAUGGGUUGGUUCAAAUUGUUUCGCUGCCACCGGCAAUGUGCGGGGAAACU
Molecule: non-coding RNA, 182 nt
Filed under: Candidatus Hydrogenedentota bacterium
Lineage: Bacteria; Pseudomonadati; Candidatus Hydrogenedentota
Description: 6S RNA
Rfam family: 6S / SsrS RNA
About the family: E. coli 6S RNA was the first non coding RNA to be sequenced, but its function was unknown until recently. It consists of 184 nucleotides that fold into an extended hairpin structure with a large single-stranded internal bulge. The 6S RNA specifically associates with RNA polymerase holoenzyme containing the sigma70 specificity factor.
Source: RNAcentral